RNAcentral lists this ribosomal RNA (468 nucleotides) under uncultured bacterium. Its description in RNAcentral is "partial 16S ribosomal RNA". It matches the Rfam family "Bacterial small subunit ribosomal RNA", at positions 28 to 507 of the family's 1533-position model. The record is from RNAcentral.
GACGAACGCUGGCGGCGUGCUUAACACAUGCAAGUCGAACGGAAAGGCCCUGCUUUUGUGGGGUGCUCGAGUGGCGAACGGGUGAGUAACACGUGAGUAACCUGCCCUUGACUUUGGGAUAACUUCAGGAAACUGGGGCUAAUACCGGAUAGGGGCUCCUGCUGCAUGGUGGGGGUUGGAAAGUUUCGGCGGUUGGGGAUGGACUCGCGGCUUAUCAGCUUGUUGGUGGGGUAGUGGCUUACCAAGGCUUUGACGGGUAGCCGGCCUGAGAGGGUGACCGGCCACAUUGGGACUGAGAUACGGCCCAGACUCCUACGGGAGGCAGCAGUGGGGAAUAUUGCACAAUGGGCGGAAGCCUGAUGCAGCAACGCCGCGUGCGGGAUGACGGCCUUCGGGUUGUAACCCGCUUUCGCCUGUGACGAAGCGUGAGUGACGGUAAUGGGUAAAGAAGCACCGGCUAACUACGUG